This 420-nucleotide long non-coding RNA is filed under the name Androctonus crassicauda. The record is from RNAcentral. Lineage: Eukaryota; Metazoa; Arthropoda; Arachnida; Scorpiones; Buthidae.
AUUUUAUAAAAGAAAAUUGUUAAAAUUUUCCCAUUAUUAAAAAAAUAUAUUUUCUUCAAAUGUUCAACACUUAUUCCAUUCUAUUCACAAUAAAACUAUAAAACCAUAUUUCAAUAAUGUACUGUAUAAACUUUAGCUUUUUAUGCUUAAUCAUGACCAUUUUCCCCACCUCAUCCAGCUGCUGCAGUUCUCCUUGCAAAUGGAAGAAUUCAUUUUGCUUUCUAUAUGUUCAGUUAGCUUUCUUGCAAUUAUAAUCAAUCUUAACUUCCACCCAUACAGCUUCUAUAAAAUAGGUGAAAGCCUUUUUGCAACCAAUUGUACAUUGAGAUUCACUAUACAGUAUUGCGAUAUGAAAAUCAGUUCAUGAACUUUGACUGUACUGAUAUAAAAAAUGUGUUUUUUUUCUUAUAUGUGGUUCUU